CCAAAUUCAAACGGUAGUAGCCAGCCCUCCGCCAGAGAAAGGCAACGACAUUGCCAAUUCUUUGCGAGGAUUCUGGGAGCAGUAACCUUGGAGCUCUGUGUAGGCGGCCAGGCUUCCGCUACAGGAGGGCGUGGCUGUGACGAUUAUCUCAUUGGGGAUUCUGGGGUUAUAAUACAGGAAUUGUGGGUAAGUACAGUCACUUCUGCUCCAUGAAAGUGAGGUCAUCAUUCGUUUCAGGAAGUUGAGUGAGGCCUGAGACAGCAAUGUUUCGUUUAGCCUGGCGGUGGCCCUCCUUGUCUUCAAGAAGAGCAUCCGUGGCUAGCAGUGGAAGAUGGGGUUGGGCCCCAGGACUGACCAGGCAGUUCUGCCACCUUCUAGGAGUGUGAAAUUGGGAAGUAAUUCAAAAUGUAUGUGCCUAGCAUUCCUUUUAUGUAACAUGAGGGGAAUAGAAGUACCAAACCGAUGCAGUUCAGUGGAGAAUUAAAUGAGAUAGUCACAAGUAAAAGGUGGUAAGUGUGGUUCAUUUUAUUAAUUUUCUUUUAAUUUCCCGAGAAGCCCCAGUUACCUGAAAGCUUCUGUGAGCCUGGGAAGGGAUCAGAGUUCCACCUGCAGUGCUAUUUUGCCCCUUCUUUCUGAUCCUUACAGGAAGCAGGACGAUUCCUGGAUUCCCUUUUUAAAAAAGAGGGAGACACAGUUCUGGUUUCUCGCAGAUGGUCACAGGAAUGAGGAAAGAAUGACUCUGGCUCCUAGCAGCAGAAUCUUAACUGAGUAUGACUUAGCAUCCUUCUUCUUGCUGUGUCAUCUCUCUUCUCAGGGCAGAAGAUAUUUACUAAUUAGCACAUUCUGCUAGCACAUCUGUGGGAAAAGAGACGCGAUCUUACUGCAUUGACCAGGAUGGUCUCAAACUCCUGGCUACAGGCUAUCCUCCUGCCUCUGUCUCCCAAAGCGCUGGGAUUACAAGCGUGAGCCACCAGGCCUGGCCCAAUUGCUUCUUAACAACUUACUAUUCUUUGUUCACUACAGUGUAUACAUAACUGACUUUUUAUUUGGAUCUUCAUUUUGUAAUGAAGGCUCUGGUCACAUGUAAGACUUGUAUUAAAUAAAUUUGCCUGCUGUUCUGUUAAUCUGUGUUAUGCUAAUUUAAUUCUUGAGCCCAGCUGGGUCCUGGAGAGGAUAGAGUGAAAUUUUGUGGCAGCUACGUAAGUCAAUGAAAUUGGAAACAGAAAAACAAUCUUUAAAAAUCAAUAAAAUCAUAAACUUAUUCUUUGAGAAGAUCAAUAUAGUUUAUAAACCUUUCAACUGACUCACCCACAGGGAAAAAGAAGAAAACAAAAAUCAGGAGGGAGGGAAUGUUAUUACAAAUUUUGCGGAUAUUAAAAGGAUUAUAAGGGAACAUUACAAACAACUCCUUGUCCAUAAAUUGAUCAAUUUACAUGACAUGGAAUAUUACUUGAAAGGCACAAACUACCAAAGCUCACUCAGGAAGAAUGGAUAACCUAGAUACUUGCGUGUAUGUAUGUGUGUGCAUACAUACAAUUUUUACACACACACACACACACACACAUAUAUAUAUAUAUAUGCACAGUUAAUUUUUUCUAUCUUUUGUAGAGAUGGGUUUUUACCAUGUUGCCUGGGCUGGUCUUGAACUCCUGGGCUCAAGCGCUCUGCCCACCUUGGCCUCCCAAAGUGCUGGGAUUACAGGCUUGAAACACUGCACCUGCCUGGCCUGAUAUAUAUUUCAAAACUGAUUUAAUAGAUAAAGCCUUCCAACAACAACAAUAAAAAAAACAAUAUUGAGAUGAAUUCAUUGGUGGAUUCUACUAAACAUUUAAAGAGUAAAGAUGUGAAUUUUAAAUAAACCCAGAAACAAAAAGAGAAGGGAACACCCA
This 1889-nucleotide long non-coding RNA is filed under the name Homo sapiens (human). RNAcentral describes it as "HSALNT0040044". Lineage: Eukaryota; Metazoa; Chordata; Mammalia; Primates; Hominidae. The record is from RNAcentral.